GUGCCUACGGGACGCAGCAGUGAGGAAUAUUGGUCAAUGGUCGGGAGACUGAACCAGCCAAGCCGCGUGAGGGAUGAAGGUACAGAGUAUCGUAAACCUCUUUUGUCAGGGAACAAAGGCGGGGACGUGUCCCCGGAUGAGCGUACCUGAAGAAAAAGCAUCGGCUAACUCCGUGCCAGCAGCCGCGGUAAUACGGAGGAUGCUAGCGUUAUCCGGAUUUAUUGGGUUUAAAGGGUGCGCAGGCGGUCUUUUAUGUCAGCGGUCAAAGCCCGGGGCUCAACCCCUGCCCGCCGUGGAAACGGGCA
RNAcentral lists this ribosomal RNA (305 nucleotides) under uncultured bacterium. RNAcentral describes it as "bacterial SSU rRNA". It matches the Rfam family "Bacterial small subunit ribosomal RNA", at positions 335 to 638 of the family's 1533-position model. The record is from RNAcentral.